Molecule: long non-coding RNA, 8701 nt
Organism: Acinonyx jubatus (cheetah)
Lineage: Eukaryota; Metazoa; Chordata; Mammalia; Carnivora; Felidae
Exons: 3
Source: RefSeq, a predicted model, not a curated record
AUUGGAUUGGUAUUUUAUCAGUAGAAAUAUGAAGUAAUGGCAACUGACUGAUGGCAUAUAAUAGAGGAAGGAAGAGAGGGUCUUGGAGGCUGCAUUAUGGUAGUUCUGAGGAAAAUAAGGAGAAAGGACUCAAAGCCUUCUAGAAUAGGCUAUCAAAGGGGAAAAAGGAAGAAGGAAAGAUGGAUAGCCUGUUGUAGUUGAGAACACGCUGAAGAGAGAGCGUAAUGAGAAAAUGGGUGAUGUGAAAUAACCUUUCAGAUAGCUUAACUGAAAAGAAUGUAGUUCAUACCGCAUGUCUCCAACACUAAUAAAACUGCUGUUCCCUAAACUGUUUGCUAAAUGGCAAUGGCUAAGAAGCCGGAGAGAACUGGGGAAAGAUUGGUAUCCAUGAACACUCCCUUUGGUGGGAGAGAUCCUUCCAGUUUGAAUCUUUAGGCAUUUACAUUUAUGAGAGAAACUUGAGUUGAACCAGCAGUUGUCAAAUGAACGAGUGCUGGCAUGAACUUCCCAGUUUUGUCUUAUACCACAAAGCCCUCAAAAGUCCUCCUAUAUAGGAUUGGUCCUGGAAACAGAUCUUACUGGAGAGGAAAAGGUGAGGACAUGCUGCUUUUUCUCUGUGCCCCAUAGUUUUAAUUGAGCCUCAAGUGAAUUUCCUUAGAAGUCAAUGGUGGCUCCAUGUCCCAGAAGGGACAGGGGAAGUGUGUGAAACAAGAUGAGAGGUGGGACCAUUAUUCCCAGAACUCUUCUGACUUCUUUUUAGACCCUGGUCAAGGAUAGAGCUGUUUGUUGUAAUAAAAUAUCCAGUAGCAGGAAGUUGAAAUGGAGGUUAUACUAAAAAAAGACCCCCCAAACAAAACAAAACAAAAACUCAUGCUAAUUUUAGCUCCAUUCAAAACCUAGGGGGAAAAAUCAAUGUUUACAAAAUUAAGAUUAAUGAGCUGCCAAAAUUCAACUCAUUAGUUAGCAACUAUGUAGUGAUGAAGUUUGUGCUGGUUGGAUUUAAAGGAAAUUAAAACUAUCAUUGGGAAUGCCUGUCCCCUUAACAUUUUGGCUUAAUGAUUAUGGACUUUUCUACUAAAAGUACUGGUAGCCAAGGAGUGGGUCUAAAAAUCCCUAGCUAAGAAUUUACCCACUUCACUUGACAUGGAGAGGGUCUUGUCAGGAUAUGUUGAGUGCUGAAGAUCAUGGUUAUUACAGCUUAAAAGCUUUUACAGAUAUUGAUCCAGACAUUAGAGUGACCCUCCUUGUGUAGAUAAAACACUCCCAGAGACUUGAAGGAAGUGUACCAGGAAAAGGCAAACACUGAGACUUCUUCCCUUUUGACAAACAUGGAACUCUUUUCCUCCUUCCAGGAAGUACUGUGUUGAGAUGAAAGCUAUGGAAAUCCUAGGAUGGGUUUGAACUGGUUGUGUGUAAAGGUUUUGCCUUAUACAAUAUCUGUGGGCAUAAGGUGGACAUAUGGCAGGCUGGCUUAGAGGGAUAAUUGCAGAAAAGAAUGAUAGAACUGAGUGUGUUUAUAACGCUAAUCUGAGGUAACACAGGCAGAAGUUUCUAGCACAAUGUCUGGCACAAAAUAAGGAGUAGAAUGGUCAUUUGGUAUUUCUAUUUUUAUAGUCACAUUUAUUUAUUUUAGUUCAACGUUUACGUUUAGAGUUGCUUUAUUGCUUCAUUGGGAAAUCUGAAUUUAACCUUCUGACUAGUGAUCAGUAUAUCAGAAAAAUGAUAUUUUACUUCAUGUAGGUCUUAUAACCAGCAUUGGCCUGUAAGAGUUCUCUGAUUUCAGAAAACAGUGGUGAACAUUGGUCUUUGAAAAUUCCGGGGGCACCUGGGUGGCUCAGCCUGUUAAGCAUCUGACUCUUGACUUCAGCUCUGGUCAUGAUCUCACAGUUCAUGGGUUCGAGCACCACAUCGGGCUCUGUGCUUUCAGUGAAGAGAUUCUUAGCUUGGGAUUCUCUCUCUCCCUCUCUCUCUCUCUGCCUCUCCCCUGGUGACACUCACAUGCUCUCUCUCUCUCUCUGUCUCUCAAAAUAAAUCAAUAAACAUUAAAAAAGAAAAGAAAAUUCCCUUAAAGUUCUAUAUGAAAUGUAAUUCUGGAUUUCCUUGAGCCUGAUUUCUCCAUGUUAUAUGUGGAAAGAAGUUAGCAGUUAUAGCAGGUGGUUUUCAAAGGAGCAAAUGGAAGAGUACAUUCUUUCACAGAAGCUUUAUAGGUGGAAGGGGCCUUCAGAAUCCUCUGAAUGUAAGUGAGGCUUACUGUUCACGUGAAGAAACUGUUUUCUCCAGAGUCACAAAACUAGUUAAUGGCAGAGAAGGGAUUAGAGGCCAGCUCUUUUGAUUUCUGGGCCAAUAUUCCUUUUCCUCAGUAGAAGAUUAGAAACCUCUUAUUUUUUGUCUAAGUCUUCUGAAUAGCCUGCUGAGGCCAUGUAAAUUAUAUGCUGGAUAAAACAUAGGCUGACUUGAAAGGACACCUUUCCUUACAAGGUGGUGGGAGACAGGUCAGUGGGAUUGAGUGUGUUUUUAUUGCAGUCUUUCCAUGCCCAGUUGCUGACUGUCACAGGCUAGCCCAGAAGGAUGGGCAGGAUUAAAGGAUCUAUAGCUAGUCCCUCCUGGGCCAUCAUAUAACCACAGGUGUGGUUUUUCUUUUACUGUAGAUCAGCUACCAAGAGACUGCUCUGAGUGGAAACAACCUUCCCUUGAGGAGUUAGGGAAGAUGGGGAGGGCAGCUUAAGAUUCCAUGGAGUAAUAUGAGAAUUCUCUGCAACAGUGGAGUCUGGCAAUACUUCUGUCUUUGCCCAUCCUUAGUCUGCUCUCAAUUCUGAAAAUGCUAAGUGAAGGAUGCAAAAGAAAGACUAUUCCUUACACUUACCCCUCAGUGUAUGUUUGUGCCUGUUUGGGAGAAGAGAGAGCGAGGCUAGGUUCAUGAAAUUCCUACAUAUUAGUAGAGAUUGGAGGGUUUAGCUAGGAGAAAGCGAAGAAUACAUCAAUGGAAGAGGGGAAAAGAAUAAAUAAGAACUAGAGCUAAAAAUAAUUUCAGGUUGCUAAUCAUUAUAAAGCUGAUUAAUUUAAAAGAAGUUAAAAGUGCAGAUAAGAUCCUGGGUAGCUACUGCAUCACAGAAUCUUUGAGACCACAGUUUCCAGUCAGUAGAUGUUACCAGAAGAGUUAAUUAGCCCAAACUGUGGCUGCUAGUUCUUUAGCUGUCUUCAACUUGAAGGUUUUUUUUUUAAUAAGUUUUAGAGCUAAUUAGGAUACACCUGGGACUCAUGGCUAAAGCCAAUAGAGUUUCCCCUGGGGGAGUUACUUUUUAUAUACCAAAAUUUAAAAAAAGGAAAAAUGUCAGAUGAAAACAUCAUCUUUAGAUUCAGGAAAAAAAAAAAUGGCAUAACCAUUUCAACUCAGCAGACCACAAGGCCAAACAAGCUUUGGCUAGAAUUGAAUGCUGUGUGCUUCUGUUCAGAGAAGAGGAUGCUUCCCAGAUGUGUCUGGGGGACUACCUGCCUCACUCUUAUUUAUCAUCAGCUCUCACACAGGAUGUGGUGUCGCUGGCUGGUAAUCUGGAAAUGGCCUGUUUAUUUUUACAGAUCUGUAGAAGAGACUCAAUAGUUGUAAAGGAUGGAAGAGUGCAAAGCAGCUUGGAACUCACAACAAAGGAAACCGGGACGAAAAAAAUUAGAUAAAACAACUGUGACCAUGGGAUCUGCUCCUUGUGCCUGUCGAACAAAGGUGCUAAAUGGAUUUUCUCAUUUCAAAGGAAAGCCAAUUCUUCCUCCCAACCCUGCAGCCCAUGAUUGUAGAACAUCCAGACACCAUUUUUUUUUUUUUUUUUUUUUUAAGUUCAGGGAACCUUGGUAUUCUUUUCAACACCAGGACUGGUUGGUUCCUUUAUGAGUUUCGUAAAGAAAAGAAACCUCCCCCAGAGCUGCUUAGGCUGGUGAUUCUCUGUCUCAACCAGGCCUUUCUGGAUAAUUUCCCUCAUGUUAAAACCCUGCAGCAGACUGGAGAAAGAGGAUUCUCCAAAUGCUUGGCUGGGAUAGUGUUGCUGCUAAGUUCCUGCUUCUCCUGAAGUGUUAUCCUGAGUGUAACAACUUUCUGUUCUCUCUCCUGAGAAGAGAUAUGCCUGAGUUCUUGCAGUACCCUGGGACAUAAUUCAUUAUGGCCAGAAUGGAUUUGCUGUACAUAGGAGUCAUACUUCUAACCUGCCAUGUCCAUAGGUAUGUGAGGAUCUAGGAUGAAGCUGAGAGAAUUCUAUCCUGCUGGUUCAUACUCAGAAGGUUUCUAAGCCCACUGAUGACAGGAAAAUCUUCAGUGGUUCCAGAGACAAGCUGCUGGAAAUCCUGCACAUUUAUCUUCUAGAAGGAAGUGAGCUGAGUAGGAUAGUGGUACCUUCAGAAGGUACCUACCCCAAAACUUGAAAGAACUCCAAAGUAAACCAUGUCCAUUUCUGGGACCCUAAAGUGGCUCAUGAAAGUCAGGGUCCACUUGCUUAAGGUUAGGUGAUUUCAAGCCUUGAGAUUCUAAGGGGAGAGUGAAGGUGGGAAAGGGGAUGGUGAAUAGAUUGUGAGAACUUAUCAAAUAAUAGGACUUCUCUUUAAUUCCAAGCAUCAUGUUCUAUUUCACAUUGUAUCUUUCAAUUAAAAAAAGGAAAAGGAAAUGUGUCUUUUUUAAAAAAGAUAUUUUACUCUAUUAGUAUUCAGUACAUAAUAUAUGAGUGCACAUUCAUCAUUCAUUAGAUCUAGGUAGAUCACAACCUAAUUUACAAAUUCAAAAGCAUAAGUCAGAUCAACUCAAUUGCUCAAGGCCAUGUAUUCGUAAGCCAGGAGUAUGCACUGAAUAUUUCCUGUCCUUGGACUGCUCUACUGGGCUAUGCUGCUUUUCUAUAAGAAUUUGUUCAUAUGUUGAAUUUAACACAGUUUUGCUUAGCAGUUUAUAACACUUCACCUACGUGCACUUGUGUAAUAUAAAGUAUAAAAUUAAGUCAAUGAUCUACAAAAUUCAGAGCAAAGUAAUCUAAAUCAUUUGGAUCUUCCUAGAGAUUCUGAUUUCUUUUUUUUUUAAUUACACAAUUUUUUAAAUGUUUAUUUAUUUUUGAGAGAGAGGGGGGGUGGGAGGGGCAGAAAGAGAGGGAGACACAGGAUCCGAAGCAAUCUCUAGGUUCUGAGCUGUCAGAAAAGUGCCUGACAUGGGGCUCGAACUCAGAACUGUGAACUAUGACUUGAACUGAAGUUGGACACUUAACCACACAGUAGCCCCAAUUUCUUUUUAACCUGAAAAAAUAGAUAAUUACUCGAUAGCUUUAGCUCUAAGAUAUAUCUGACAGGCUAUUUUUAUUUGUUUGGUUUUCAGAAAUCAUAUCCAUGCGUUCUGCCCUCUAUAGUUUUUAGCAAAAUGAAUCAAAGCCACUCUGUACCCAAAGAUAACACCAGUGUUGUCUUUUUUUUCCUUCUAAACAUUGCAGUGCUUUACUUAAAGUGCUAUGCAGUAAAUUUACAGGGAAAGAAAAAUUUUAUUAAAUUAUAACUGAGAGGAGCUGAUUUUUUUACAUAGCAAACAAAAAAUUCCUUCAUGAAAGGCUAUAAAACCCAUAUUAUUUACCAGAGAGACCUUUCCUGUCUCCCAGGUAAACACUUACAGUGUGUAGACUUGUGUAAAUACAUAUUUAGGAGUGGCUAAAUAUGGCGAGGUAUUUUUAAAGGUGUAUUUACAAAGCUGAAUACAUAUAUUGGCAUUUCGGUAUGUGGAAGUCGUGUAUGCUGUUCUGCCGUCUAUUCAAAAUUCUAGCAGGACUCUGGUAGAUACACCUUGGAUAAUGGGACUGAGUUUCAAAACAUUCAUCUUUAAUCACAAUUACUAAGGACAGGCCCUUAAAUCAUUUCAAAAGGGUGAAAAUUUUCAACUAAUGGAAUUCGGGUCCUUCUUGCCAGUUUGACUUGAGGAAAAUUGUUCCAGAAAUGUGGCAUCAUUAGCGGAAGCAGAUCUCCUUUCUGAACAUCUUUGUGCAUAAAAUAACUGCCAUUUCACAUUCGGUUUAGAAUGUUACCAAAUAGUCAAAGAUACAGUUCAUUUGAUGGAUGGGUCAGCCAGGAAAUUUUAGUUAAGAGGGGAAAUAUCAUCAAGAUAUUUUUAAAAUACUUUAAAACACAUGAAAAUGUAAGUGAUAAACGCUGUCUGUUGCUAAUUCAAUAGCAGGAAGCUUCCUAUGAUAAUGUAGUGAAGCUCUGUCCAGAGGAUUCCCAGUGUCUACGUUCCUUUUUUACUUCUUGGGAAAUGUGUCUGUGAGGAAAAGAAUGUGAUCGUAACAGAGGUUGUAGACGCAUGAAAGAGCACUACGACCUCAGCUUCUGUUGUCUGCUGCGCCUCAGAUUGAAUGAGGAUCCCAUUUGUGUAAAAGCCUGUUUUAAGAUAGACAAGUUGAGAGUCUAAAUAGCUCUAGAGCUUGGACUAUCUCAGGAGCCUUUGGCUAAGAAGUCUAAACAAUGCUGCUAUUUCAUUUUUAAUGCAGCUUUUUCUAAAUGCUCUCAAUAUCCUCCAGUGGAGUAAUUGAAAAUCUUAUUAUGAGAAACCAUGUGGGGACAAAGAUUAUUCAAUCAGUGAAAUGAUUUCUCCAGUAAAUUUGAACUGGGCUGAGUUUUUUAACUUUACAAAAAUAUACAUCAUAUGUACAGGUCUUUCCCUAGGUCCCAGCACCCCAGAUUUGGGUUAAACCUGCUGGGUUCUAGAACUUUAAAUUAAAACAAACAAAUAAACAUGUAAAUAAAUAAGUAAAGUUUAUUUAAAAAUAUUCUGCCAGUGCUAUAAGGCCUCUGGAAUGUAGAAACUUCUCAUAUAUGUGCUGACACAAUUUUAGCUUUAACUGUGAAUGGUUGCACUCUGUACAUAUUACUUGUACCAGUAUUUUAGACUUGGAAAAAACAAGCUUUUCUGGCAAGAGACAAUCCUUGUUUCAGAUUUUUUUUUUAAAAUAUACGAGCAGGCACAAACACCUUCACAUUACGAUUUUUAUUAGUGUUAUCCCAUCUUUAAUUUUAUUCUAUGGCUAAGUAUCUCAUUUCCAAGUAAACUUCCAUUAGGAACAGAAAUUGCUGACACCACAUCUACUGACAGAAAUGCCACAACAUAAAUUAUGCCAAGAAAAUGCCGCUUUGGGUGGGGGGCAUGGUAGGGGGAACUUAGUUAGAUAAAAAGCCACUGUGCUACUGCCCAGCCUGCAACUCUGUCCCGCUGACCACUGAUAAAAUUUAUCACAGGGCCACAUACGGGAAGGCAGCUUAAAGAGUCGUCGUCUGUGGUAAAACGUGUAACAGCAAAACAGCUAAUGGAGCAUUAUUACUUUAUUGGAAAGCAAUAUCUCUGGAGGCUUCACUUUUCUAGCUUUAGCAAGUGUAUGAAUUGUUCUAUAUGCAGAAGAGCUGAUAUGAAGGAAAAAAUGGGUUAUCAGAACUCUGAAUGAUGGCAAUGGGCAUUUCCAGGGCUCACCAGUUCACCACUCUGCCCAGUACACUUAAGGAGCAAAAGGGUAAAUGAGUCCCAACAAAGUUAAAAACCAAUCUGAAUUUUCCUUCUUAAAAGAAUGCUGAUCUAUAAUGCUAAUGGUUUCUUUGUGAAGAAGCAGUCUUGUGUCUUGUAAAUUCCUGGCUAAUUGUUGUCAAAAUUCAGUCCUGGCGUUAGUAGAAAUGUAGUAAGUAGAAAGUAGAAAUAUCCAGAUUCCACUAGUAAAAGGAAUCUCAUUCACCAAGAUAUUUAAAAACUUUGUCAUUGGAUGGGGCUUAUUUUGGGGGGUUGGAAAGAAAGAGCUUGGCAUCUUUACAGUAACAAUUGAACGACUAGAAGGGUUACUAAUAAAAAUGAUUAGGUGGUGUGGUGCUUUAAAUGAUAGGGAAGAGGGCAUUUCAAAGACGUGAAGGAGAUUAAUUGUUAUCACUUGCUGCUCGAAUGAGGGAGAGUGACGUCACCAAGAUGGCGACCGAGGUUGUUCUUGACUUCCCCUCUCCUCGCGAGAGGAACAAGUAACAAGUAUUUAGGAAGGAGACAUCGCUAGAACUUGGGAGUGAGGCCGAAGCACCCCCGGCUCUGCACCACAGAGACCCAGACAGACUCCGUUAGAAAGGUAAGAGAAGCGGCUACAAUGACUGCAUUGCCUCUCCCCGAGAUUGGUGCGGCACCACACUGAGAGGUCUCACCUGAGCCUCCACUAGGAAAAUGACUGGCAUACCAGAGGAUUUAUUGCUCUUAUUUGCUACCCAUGAGCUAUGUCUUAAAACUUACGUAAUUGCACAUGCAAAGCGCCACUGUACUUUGCCCGUCCUACACAACAUGUGUCUCCACCUCUGAGCUUUUGUCCAUUCCUACAUGUUUUUUGAAGAAGUCAGGGAUUUCGGAUGGACUGCCUUCAGUUAAGGUAAGAGAAACCACGUUGCCACCUGAUGGGGUCACGCUUUGCUAAAUUUGAUCAUAACUGCAAAGCACGUUGGUAAGAGAGCAAAGUUUUCCUCUUUUACUGUCAACCUCAAGCAAAGAACCUCACAUCAUCACAUCAAUCUUUUUUUUUUUUUCCUUUUUUUCAGUUGUUAAUGCCAUGUUUAUAUAACCCCUUUUGGUAGCUGCUUGUGUACCUAGCCCCUACAGUUUCUUGGAUUAAUAUUUCAUGUUUACUACGUGAAGUUUAAAGUAGUACUUUAUUUUUCCUAAAUGCAUCUCAUUCAAGCUGUA